UACAGAGGGGUCAAGCGCUGUUCGGAAUUACUGGGCGUAAAGGGCGCGUAGGCGGCCUGCUAAGUCGAACGUGAAAUCCCCGAGCUCAACUCGGGAACUGCAUCCGAUACUGGCGGGCUUGAAUCCGGGAGAGGGAUGUGGAAUUCCAGGUGUAGCGGUGAAAUGCGUAGAUAUCUGGAGGAACACCGGUGGCGAAGGCGGCAUCCUGGACCGGUAUUGACGCUGAGGCGCGAAAGCUAGGGGAGCAAACGGG
RNAcentral lists this ribosomal RNA (253 nucleotides) under uncultured bacterium. Its description in RNAcentral is "partial 16S ribosomal RNA". It matches the Rfam family "Bacterial small subunit ribosomal RNA", at positions 524 to 776 of the family's 1533-position model. The record is from RNAcentral.